Heteronotia binoei (common prickly gecko) is the source of this 955-nucleotide long non-coding RNA. RefSeq lists it as uncharacterized. NCBI's taxonomy places the organism in Eukaryota, Metazoa, Chordata, Lepidosauria, Squamata, Gekkonidae. The transcript is spliced from 2 exons. The record is from RefSeq and is a predicted model, not a curated record.
CCAGCUGGAGGCAGCCGGUUUGGCAGCUGUAGGAAGGAUUGUAAUCUUGCUCCAUUCCCAUUUCCUGAGUUGGUUUUCCACAGAAUCAAAAUGAUGGAGCGAAAAACAGAUUAACAUGGAGGACCCUUCUGGCCGAAGAGGACUUUUAUUUCCUCUUUGCAUUAAAAAGAAGAAGAAAGAAGAGUAUAGAUGAUAAGGUGAUGGGUUGGUAGUUACCUGGAUCCUCCUUUCCCCUCCUUAUUGAAGAUGGGGACAACAUUUGCCCACCUCCAGUCUUCCAGCAGAUGAUGCAAAAGAGAUCUUGAAGAGCCACUGCUAGACGUAUGAUACCAACCUUGAUAGAUCAACAGCCUGAACAGUAGAAACAGCAGCUUCAUGUGAUGGUGGUGGUGAUUAAGGGGAAGAUCAUGGCUCAAUGCAUCAGUUCUGCAUGGAGAAGGUCCCAAGUUCAAUCUCCAGGUUCAAGUCCUAGCAUAUCUACUUAGAAGGAUCAGGUAGCAAGUGAUACAAAGGACCUCAACCUCAGUCACUGGAACCUCCUGUCCAUCAGACUAGAUGAUACUGACCUUGAUAGACCAAUGACACAAUUCUGUCUAAAGCACUUCCAUGCAUUUGAUGUAAUUAAAAAGUAUAAAAAUGUUAUAGAACACACUGCUGUUGGAAAUGUUUUCCUUAUUAAUGUUUUUCCUCAGUUUUAUUUUAAAGGGGAGAAGAAAACCCUAGUUGGGGGAAUUUGUGCUCUGGGAUUUGACAGCUUUUGUUAGGAUAUUCUCAACAAUGAAAACUUCUGUUUAUUCAAGAUUCCAGAUGCAAAUACUUUGAAGGGAAGUUAGUUUUUAUCCCAAUGGGGAUUUACACUUGGAGCUUUCAACAUCCAUCUUUUGAGAGGAAGAGAUGAACUAUAAUGAAGUAGUUCAUGGUACAAUUAAAAUGAUGUAGGAAAACAGCAACAUGA